Molecule: ribosomal RNA, 324 nt
Filed under: uncultured eukaryote
Lineage: Eukaryota
Description: partial 18S ribosomal RNA
Rfam family: Eukaryotic small subunit ribosomal RNA
Source: RNAcentral
CCCUUAGAUGUUCUGGGCCGCACGCGCGCUACACUGAUGCAUUCAACGAGUUUCUUCCUGGUCCGAGAGGAAUGGGUAACCUUUUGAAAGUGCAUCGUGAUAGGGAUAGACUAUUGCAAUUAUUGGUCUUCAACGAGGAAUUCCUAGUAGACGUAGUUCAUCAGACUGCAUCGAUUACGUCCCUGCCCUUUGUACACACCGCCCGUCGCUCCAACCGAUUGAAUGCUCAGGUGAGCCAUUCGGACCUUCAUCAUGCCGGUUUCCGGUUUUGAUGAGGGAAAGUCUUGCGAACCUUAUCAUUUAGAGGAAGGAGAAGUCGUAACA